GGCUAAGCUACAGAGUGAGGCUGGGCUCCUUCCAGAAAGAUCUGCUCUAUAACUUUGAAAUUCUCCAUUGAUUUAUCAUGAAGACUUCCCUCUUCUGCUUCACAGAACAGGAGCUUCAGUGUAGGUGAUGUGUUUUAGACCUCGUGACUCUGGUAGUGUAGCCCUCGUGUACUCUUUCUACAGACAGAGCCCUCUUCCUCUCCAUCUCUCAUGCAGGGAAAGAAAAGCCAUAUAAGGAAGCUGUGGCCACCAUCCCAGAGCUUCAUUUCCUAAGGGUUGUAACUACUAGAGAGAUAGACUGUCCAGUCUUUAUGCAAAGACCUUGGAAACCCCUCAUAGGCUAUGUGACGGUGGCAGCCAUGUCUCAAUGGGCUGGCCUCUCUUCUCACCUGACUCUUAAGUCUCCAUGAGAUAUAAAGGAGACGAAGUCUGUGGGUUGAUUAGAGUGAUAUCAGUCUCCAACGAGCCAAGAGCUGACCUUGGUUUUGGACGGUUGCCACCACAAUGGUUUCAUGCCAAGGCUCCACACAGGGAUAGGGUGAGAAACAGGGUAGAAGGGAAGGUGAUGAGGAGAGCGCCUAUGCAAAGUUGUCAUGAAUAUGCCCAGACAAGGGGAUGCAAUGAGUUUCUCAGUGACUUCUGUUCACGUGUGUGUGUGUGUGUGUGCACAUUCAUUAUGUAUAUGUUAGUAAAUGUGAGAGGAGUAUGUGUAGAGGCCAUACAACAACCUCAAGUGAUAUCAUCAGGGAUAUUAUCCACCUAGUUUGAGGCAGGGUCUGUCUUUGGCCUAGUGUUGACCCAUUUGGCUCUCCAGGCUGUCUAGCAAGCUGCAGGGCCCCUGGUCUACACCAUUUCAGCUUUGGGAUUAUAAGCACACACAGACCACCUGCCUGUUGUGUUGUGUUGUGUUGUGUUGUGUUGUGUUGUGUUGUGUUGUAUUUUAUGUCGGUUCUGGUGUAUCAGCUUCACGCUUGUGAGACAAACACUUUACCAGCUGAACGAUUCUUUCCCCAGACCCUUCUUCUCUAUAAUUUUUAGGGAAUAACCUGGUGGAGAGCCGGGUUUCAUGGCCAGAGUAUCAAGCCAUAAAGUUAGACAUUUGACGACCCUUUUCCCUAAGAAGGCACAGCUGAGAAGGUCCUCAGUGCCCACCCGAGCAUGGCAGCUCUCCACAGCCUGUGUUAUCUCUCUUCCCAGCACCUUUCUUUAUGGUGUGGCCUCUCCCUCCCUUUACCCUCCUCCGUCCCUUCCUCCCUCCAUCCCUCCCUCCCAUGGAGGCCAUGUAACAGCACUAGGCUGAGGCCAGACACUGAUACUCAUUGGUGAGAGGGAGCCCAUCUUGACUGGGACUCUCAUGCCCUUGGACUCUAUCGAAACUUAAGUGUCACUUUGAGAACCCCCCAAAACACACUCGAGGGAGUAGCUAUAUGUCUGGGAGUAGUAGGUUCCUGGGAUCCAGUUUGUGAAAGGUAGUCUAGCCCUGUUUCCUCUCUCUCUCUCUCUCUCUCUCUCUCUCUCUCUCUCUCUCUCUCUCUCUCUCUCUCUCUCCCUCUCUCCCUCUCUCCCCUGUGUUCCCUGUGUUCCCUGCCUACCAGAUAUGAGAAUAGCAGAGUCCUGGCCACCAUGCCCAUCCCAACAUGCAUCUGUGAGCUGAACAAUGUCCUUCUUCCUUCUGAUUGUCACAUAUUUAGUGACAAAUAUGAAAAAAGCAAUUAAGACACCCUUGUAGGUCAUUUGUUCUCUCUGUGGUCUCAGGUGAGGGGCGAGGCUGUCUUAAACACACCCCCGAAGAGUUCAGGCUCACCCCAGCUGAGGUGUCCUUGUCACCACCUGUGAUCUGAGCACCAGCUGACAGGUUCUACCUGCACUCAGUGGAAGAACUUCUCAAGGGUCAACCCAUGGAGGGAGGGUGUGUAGGGACCAUCUUACACUCCCACCACUUCACUGUGUGAGAGUAAAGACCCCAGAGCCCAAAUGGUCAACAACAUUAAUCCCUGUGUUAAGUUUCUAUGGGGUUCUCUCUGCUGUUCUACUUUUUAAGUUUGUGCAGGUUGAACGUUGGGAUAUAGGAUGUGGAUGCUACUUUUAUUCCAUGUGAACUUGAUCAGGUCCUUCCAGUUUGUGGAUGACUUAAUCCUUGACUUUAUUCUCCAUGAGGUUGAAUUUUUCAAGGUUAUAGUCAUCGUAUGCUCACUCAACAGACAUCGGUUAAAUAUUUACCAUGGGCCAAGUGCUGAACUAGGUGCCUGGAAGGUGUGGCAUUUACCAGAAGAUCUCCCCAGUCCCUUACCCCUGAGGGUACAUUAGUAGUGAUCAAAGCAACCAGCUGGUCUUGCCUUCCUGGAGCUGACGUUAUCAUCAAGGGAAGCAGACUAAGCUACAUGCCUGUAUGAAGCAGAUAACUCCAGAGAAGGUAGUAAUUACCGUGGAGGAAAAUGUUCCCGUGACACAGUGGAAAGAGGGUUAUAAUUUUCAAAAGUGGUCUUUAGCGCUACAGAAAAUCUUGGAAGUGCCAACCAGGUGAUAUUCUGAAACCAGCUCUUAAAAAUAAUCAUUAACAGAGAGCAGUGUUUAUAAACCAGAGCCACAAGGGAGGGUCUGAAUGCUGCUGAAGGGGUUUCAAGUGCAUGGCCCCACCCUUCAGGAGCCAGCAGUGUCUGACCCUGUACCCCCACCCCCCACGACACACACAGACAAAAGGCUCAAGUCAAACUGGAUGUAUGCUGCCUUAAUACAAUGAAGCGGUGGACAAUGGCAUGCGUGUGCCCUACAUAUACUGAGAGUCAGAUGAUUUGAGAAGUAUCUGGAGAAUUUGGAGUUUCUAAGGAUUUAGUGACAUUCUUAGAGGGACUCUGAGAUGCCAAUUCACACCUCCCAAAGUGGAGCAAAGUUGUUUAUUCUGGUUUAGGAAAUGACUUAGAGGGGAUAAAGGUCACCCAGAAAGUGGCAAAGCUGGGGCUAAGCUCUCUCUUCCAGAUUUCCUCCCACUGAACCUUGAAGAAAGUGGUUCCAAAAUCCUCCCUCGUCAUGCUUCUCCGCCCUCCACCAGCACCGCACAGUGGUCCCUGUCCUUCCACCUGCCUGGGCAGAGCCUUGUAGCUUGAGAAUGGCGCAGAAGAGGGAUUUUACUUAACUCCAUGCUAUAUCAGUGUCCCGGGGAUCUACACUAGGAAAGCACUACAAACUGAGUGUCUGAAGCAAUGGAAAAAUACAGGUGAUGGACCAAUGAGAAGAGAGAAGAGGAAGAACAUGCUAGGCAGCUGUUUCUAGCUCCCCAGAGGCAGCAUUUGUUGGCUGUAGGAGUCCUGAGGCUGCAGGACAGACAACUUGCACUGAGGUGGCUGUUUUCCAGGUAUAACCCAGGGUGAGGCCUAGAAUAACUCCCAAUUUAAUCUUCUCUGUAUCAUCCAAACCCUGGUGGCCAGCAUGGGCCAGGCUCUUCCAAUUUACUUUAGCUUCGCUGGUAAAUAUUUUCCAGGGCUGACACACAGCAGACUCCUAACUUGUGUAUUCCAAGGCUUAGCACUAAUCCUACCCUCUGUGAGAAGGCUUCUGGGACUUCUUCCAAUCGGGGAGGUUCUCCACUAUCUCUGUGUCCCUGGUUAGCCUGCCUUAUCUUGGGUAUUGUACCAUGGCUGUCGAUCAAGAGACUGAAUAAAUGAGAGAAUCAUCAGGUCA
Mus musculus (house mouse) is the source of this 3678-nucleotide long non-coding RNA. RefSeq annotates it as predicted gene, 30474. Lineage: Eukaryota; Metazoa; Chordata; Mammalia; Rodentia; Muridae. The transcript has 2 exons. The record is from RefSeq and is a predicted model, not a curated record.